Molecule: ribosomal RNA, 119 nt
Organism: Helobdella robusta
Lineage: Eukaryota; Metazoa; Annelida; Clitellata; Rhynchobdellida; Glossiphoniidae
Source: Rfam
GUCUUCGGCCAUAUCACGUUGAAAACACCGGUUCUCGUCCGAUCACCAAAGUUAGGCAACGUCGAGCCCGGUUAGUACUUGGAUGGGUGACCGCCUGGGAAUACCGGGUGCUGUAGGCU